UUGAAGUGUCUUAGUUUUAAACAUGAAUGCUUAACAAAUCGAUAAAUCCAACGAGUUAAUCGUGAACAUGUCAACAGCUAAGUACUUGAACGCUGUCAGUGCAAGGUACACCCUCACCUGCCGAGAAUGUUACCAAAAGAAGCAGUACAACAGCAAUGUGGAGACCCAAGGAGAACGUGAAGUGGCUAGAUAAGAUAGUUCCUAUCACUCAAGACAGGAUGCAGCUGUUGACAUAUUCUUUCAUUGGCAAGCGUAUACAACUGGUGUGAACAAAGUGUCAGCUCUAUUAGAGCCUCCUAUUGACAAAGUGUCUGUUUUCUUAAUGUCUUGUAGGUGUCAGUGAUGAAGAGGUUAAGGUGAUGGAGUGUCAAUUGGGGAUUGUGUAAGUUGGUGUAGAGUCAGUCUUUCAAUGGACUAUUCCCACUGCGACACUCACUCUUGUAAAACCCUUCACAUUAAAGCUUGUAGCUAGAAAUUUCGAAGGGGUAGCUUCAGGUAAAAGUGACAUCAUCUAUGGCUUUCUGGAUUGACUGUCUUUGUCCAGUGACACCUUCAGGAUGACACCCCC
Lingula anatina is the source of this 568-nucleotide long non-coding RNA. RefSeq lists it as uncharacterized. The record is from RefSeq and is a predicted model, not a curated record. NCBI's taxonomy places the organism in Eukaryota, Metazoa, Brachiopoda, Lingulata, Lingulida, Lingulidae.